This 253-nucleotide ribosomal RNA is filed under the name uncultured bacterium. RNAcentral's name for it is "partial 16S ribosomal RNA". It matches the Rfam family "Bacterial small subunit ribosomal RNA", at positions 524 to 776 of the family's 1533-position model. The record is from RNAcentral.
CACGGGGGGAGCAAGCGUUGUUCGGAAUCACUGGGCGUAAAGGGCGUGUAGGCGGUCUGGUAAGUGGGAUGUGAAAGCCCCCGGCUCACCCGGGGAUCUGCAUUCCAUACUGCCAGACUUGAGUAUGGGAGAGGACAGGGGAAUUCCUGGUGUAGCGGUGAAAUGCGUAGAUAUCAGGAGGAACACCGGUGGCGAAGGCGCCUGUCUGGCCCAAUACUGACGCUCAUGCACGAAAGCGUGGGGAGCAAACAGG